UACGGGGGGGGCAAGCGUUGUUCGGAAUUACUGGGCGUAAAGGGCUCGUAGGCGGCCAACUAAGUCGGACGUGAAAUCCCUCGGCUUAACCGGGGAACUGCGUCCGAUACUGGAUGGCUUGAGAUUGGGAGAGGGAUGCGGAAUUCCGGGUGUAGUGGUGAAAUGCGUAGAGAUCCGGAGGAACACCAGUGGCGAAGGCGACACGCUGGGCCAUACCUGACGCUAAAGCGCGACAGCAUGGGGAGCAAACGGG
RNAcentral lists this ribosomal RNA (253 nucleotides) under uncultured bacterium. RNAcentral describes it as "partial 16S ribosomal RNA". It matches the Rfam family "Bacterial small subunit ribosomal RNA", at positions 524 to 776 of the family's 1533-position model. The record is from RNAcentral.